CCUACGGGAGGCAGCAGUGGGGGAUAUUGCACAAUGGGGGGAACCCUGAUGCAGCGACGCCGCGUGGGUGAAGAAGCGCCUCGGCGCGUAAAGCCCUGUCAGCAGGGAAGAAAAUGACGGUACCUGAAGAAGAAGCCCCGGCUAACUACGUGCCAGCAGCCGCGGUAAUACGUAGGGGGCAAGCGUUAUCCGGAGUUACUGGGUGUAACGGGGGCGCAGACGGCGAUGCAAGCCAGGAGUGAAAGCCCGGGGCCCAACCCCGGGACUGCUCUUGGAACUGCGUGGCUGGAGUGCAGGAGGGGCAGGCGGAAUUCCUGGUGUAGCGGUGAAAUGCGUAGAUAUCAGGAGGAACACCGGUGGCGAAGGCGGCCUGCUGGACUGCAACUGACGUUGAGGCCCGAAAGCGUGGGGAGCAAACAGGAUUAGAUACCCCCGUAGCC
Molecule: ribosomal RNA, 440 nt
Filed under: uncultured bacterium
Lineage: Bacteria
Description: partial 16S ribosomal RNA
Rfam family: Bacterial small subunit ribosomal RNA
Source: RNAcentral